RNAcentral lists this long non-coding RNA (772 nucleotides) under Pongo abelii (Sumatran orangutan). RNAcentral's name for it is "lincRNA". The record is from RNAcentral. Lineage: Eukaryota; Metazoa; Chordata; Mammalia; Primates; Hominidae.
GGUGCUGCCCAGGAUCAGGAGGCUGAGCCAUGGUCUGGAAGUGAGUGCCCAUCCAUACACCUUCCCCAGCUUCGGGGCCACAGAGGGAGAGAAACCGGGGGCAGGUUGGUCUGGGAAUGAACCUACACCAGCCUGCAGUCAGAAGAGCCUCCAGGAGCCUCCAGCCUGGACUCUUUUUACAGAUGGGGAAACUGAGUCCCAGAGAGGGAGCAAUAAAGGAUGUCUAAGGUCAUCAGCAACUUAAAGCCAACAGCAUCAUCCUGAGUCAUAUUUGAACCUGAGGGAAAGAAACAUAUGUUCGAAGAGAUUCUGAGGCUGCUGCACCCGAUAUCAUACCUGGUUGGCCCUGGGAAAGGGCCCGCCUCCAAUACAUAAACACAACCAGCUUUGACAAUGAGCCCUGAAGCACGGCAUUGAGAAGCCGCCUAAGAAGGAGGCAGGUCCAUCAGCCUUGGUGCCCGACUGAUUACCCUGAGCAGAGCUCCCCAGCCCACCUGUGAUGGACACAUGGAGCUUGAGCAAGGAAUAAAUUUUUGUUGCUGGACUCUGUGAUUACACUGGACCUAUCCAAGAUCCGAGAUAAUCAACUCAUCUCAAAAUCCUUAAGUUGACCACAGCAGCAUCGUCCCUUUUGCAGUGUAAGUUCCCCUCCAGGUUUGCACAGCAUCUGCUGAAGUCUCCACUAGAAACUCAGUGGAAGGUCCCUAUCAGAAACUGAAAGUCUCCUAGAACAGCUUUGAGUUGUGGUUUUACCCUCCCUGCAGAUCCACAG